GUGCUCGCUUUGGCAGCACAUAUACUAAAGUUGAAACAAUACAGAGAAGAUUAGCGUGGUUCCUGCUCAAGGAUGACAUGCAAAUUCAUGCAGUGUUCCAUAUGUAA
Small nuclear RNA from Nyctereutes procyonoides (raccoon dog), 107 nucleotides. Lineage: Eukaryota; Metazoa; Chordata; Mammalia; Carnivora; Canidae. The record is from RefSeq and is a predicted model, not a curated record.